Molecule: ribosomal RNA, 253 nt
Filed under: uncultured bacterium
Lineage: Bacteria
Description: partial 16S ribosomal RNA
Rfam family: Bacterial small subunit ribosomal RNA
Source: RNAcentral
UACGUAGGGUGCGAGCGUUAAUCGGAAUUACUGGGCGUAAAGCGUGCGCAGGCGGCUUUGCAAGACAGAUGUGAAAUCCCCGGGCUCAACCUGGGAACUGCAUUUGUGACUGCAAGGCUAGAGUACGGCAGAGGGGGAUGGAAUUCCGCGUGUAGCAGUGAAAUGCGUAGAUAUGCGGAGGAACACCAAUGGCGAAGGCAAUGCCCUGGGCCUGUACUGACGCUCAUGCACGAAAGCGUGGGGAGCAAACAGG